UUAAACAUCUGGAGCUGUGAAACUGCACGGAUGAGAUUGGUCGUUACAGGAGGAGGCAGCGGAUGGCAAGCAGCUGUGGGAUCAACAACAUAACACCUGGUUUCUGACCUAAAGUGACUAAGAAACUGGAGAUCUCAUCACUGGCAGCCACAGUCCUGCAACAUGAUCUAUCCUCUGAUAUAUUUGUCUAAUGCUUUUUUUAGGCCUCCUGUAGGCUCUAGCUUCAGAAAACAAGCCCUCUGAGUUCUUUCUUUCCUUGCAGAAAUUGGCAAAGAGAUAAGAAACAAAGUGUCUCCUAGACCUCAUGGAUUCCCUAUUUUUUCCUCGGUUUCUACUUAUAGCAUUCACACUUCCUGCUACAGGAGACUAACUGCAGCAAAAUGUUUUCAGUCUGCCAGAAGGAUCGCUUAUAAGAUCUUCAGAAGCAGUCAGGCUCUCAGCUGUGCCUCUACUCAUCUAAACCCUUCAGAUGGGCACUACUGACACCUACCUCUGCCACUGAACCCAGUGGGUGCCUUGACUGAUGAAAAAACUCCUAAUGGAAUUCACUGUCCACCAUGAAUGAAGUGAUUGGGGUUGCAGCUCAAGCGAGAAGACCUUGCAAAUAGGCACCUUGCUAGUAAGACCCGAUCUCCCACUUAUGACAUGUACUGAAUCAGGAUAAGUUAAAGGUCAGAGCCCUCAGACACAAUUUGGACUGCUUAGGUGUGUUUGCAACCUCUGUUGUGAUGUGAGCUUUGCCCUCUGUAUUAAAGGGGAUUUCCCUAAAUGUCAGGUUUGGGGUUGAUCUCUCUUACUGAAUAGCAACAGGAUAAUGCCACUGCAUUUAAGUGGUGAGGCUUGAUGAGCAGGGUAUAAACCUGACUCCCUAGACCACUGGUUCAUAAACCGUAGUAUGUUGGAGACUCUGUGCCCUACCUAACUGUUCAGCUAUCAAAAAUGAGGAAACUAACACAAAAUGAGGAAACUCAAAAUACUUGGUAGGGCACUGACAUGAAAUCCUAUACUCAUAUCCCUGCUCUGAAUCAUGCUGGCCAUAUUUAGUAAACCUAGGACUCCUACUCCCCUAGUGAAUAAUCCAAACUGGAAGGCAAAUGCGUGUUUUUAGAAGUGGAGAUGGAGACAUUCUGGCUGCUAGCAGGGACCCUUAAUACCUGGGAAAGGACUCAACCUUUGCUUCAAGCAUGAUCCGUCUACAAAAGAUGGAUUAUUAAGGCAAACUGUUAGUAUGUGGAUGAUUCACUUGAUUUAUGAGGAAGAAAAUGGAUUAAAGGAGAUCUUUGAAAACUAAGUUUUGUGCAUCAGGUUGGACUAUGCAACAAAAGAUUAUUGAGAAAAAUAUUUCUCACCAAUGUAUUGUUAAGGAAACAUUGUGAUUUCAUAGGUAGAAACCAUUUAAUCUUUUUGACUGCAGCCAAAAAUAUAAUCCUCCCUGGAUAAGAUGCUUAAGAGGUGCUGAGCAGUUUCAAAUCCUACAACUAUUAAGGCAAGCUGAAAGUGCUUAUCACCACUCAAGAUACAGAUGUUUUACAGGAGCAGUCUGCCACAAUUCUGUGAACAUAGUAAUUGGCCAUGAUGGCAUCCAAACUGUUUCAUAUGCAGUUCCUUCUCACUCUUUUUAAGAUUACUCUAUUGAAAAAAGCCACACAGUCUCUACUAGAAAAUUGUAUAUAUUCCUGGCCUCUUUGCUUUUUAAGGUUAUAGCAGAAGUAAGAAAGAGUUCAAAGUACAGAAAAAAAAAAUGUUUAGGGCAUGGGAAAUUCUAUAAAUGGGAAUAGAUUGCGGAGCAAGGGUACCAUAAGAAUGAGAAUGAGAUGAAUGAAAAUUUACAAAAAAAAAAAAAAAAAAGUAAAAAUAUACUAAGAAGUUAUAGAAUUUAGGAGUUGAUUUCUCUGUCUCGAAAGACACGAAUAGAGGGAAUUUAAACACAUUAAAGCUGGAAAGCUAAAAACUGAUCAAAGAAAUCACUCUUUCAUAUGAUGUGUCACUGAACUAUAAAACUCACCUCCACAGAAAACCAUGGUAGCCUAGAAUGGAGCAAGAUUAAAAAAAAAAAUAACUUGCUACACUCAACAAUUACGUUUAUCUUAAAAUAGCUUGUAACAUGCAGGAUUUUUACAAGAGUCAUAUUUGUAAGAGACUUGAAGAUGUUACUAGAUCAGUCUUAUAUUUUACAAUGAUCUAAUUGCCACCCAAUUCAUGGCAGUUGAUGGAUUAAUAAACAUGGGCCAAACUCUUCAUGGCACUGAAAUCAGCCAAUCUCAUCAGUGAGAAAUUCUGCUUCAGCUUUAAGAAAUCACUUCUACGUCAAACAGGAGCCAGUGGAAAUGUUGAGUGGUUUCUGCACAUAGUGAACAGGGAAUAUAAGCCUUACCAGACCUCCCUCUGUAACCCAAAGAAGCCUGUCCUGAGAAGCUGGUGCCUACCUCCAGGUCUGCAGAAGGCCCUGCCAUGACACUUGCAGCUGCUUCUUCCUGCCUCCAUGGUUUUCACCAUGCAGGCUGGUUCCACCAUUUCAGUUAAGCAAGAUCCUCCUCCUUAUUGAUCAUUUCUGGCAAAAUGCUGCUGGCAUAGUGGUACAGAGGGACAAGUCAGAUAAAUUAUGGCAUGCUGAAAGCCCUGUAUUGGCCCCCACCUGCACUCCUCAGAUGAUCGGCUGCUUCUGAGAAAUCCUUUGAUUUCCAAGUAGUUGCUCUGUCACAACUGUCUGACGAAAGCUGAGCUGUGGAGCACCACUGCUAGGCCCUGUGUUUAUCAUGUGCUUAGUGCAACCACGAUGGCUGUGAGAAACUCCAGUCUUGUGCAAUGCAGAGCAGCUCUUUGCUUCGCAAAAGAAUGAUCAAAGCACUCAGCACUGAGGCCUCUCCACCUCCUAUCCGCCUCCCUACAAAAGCCUAGGCAAC
Long non-coding RNA from Anas platyrhynchos (mallard), 2903 nucleotides. RefSeq lists it as uncharacterized. The record is from RefSeq and is a predicted model, not a curated record. Lineage: Eukaryota; Metazoa; Chordata; Aves; Anseriformes; Anatidae.